Molecule: non-coding RNA, 968 nt
Organism: Malus domestica (apple)
Lineage: Eukaryota; Viridiplantae; Streptophyta; Magnoliopsida; Rosales; Rosaceae
Source: RefSeq, a predicted model, not a curated record
AACCCGUCCCGAUUUAACGUGUCAUAUGUAUACAGUGUGUUAAAUACCCUGAAUCUUUAUACAAUUGUUUAAGGUUUGGACGGCUAUUUUAUAUGUUGAAUGAUUAAAGGCUAAGGAAUGGAUCACACGUCCGAUUCCAUUUCCAUUUCCUUUCCGUGAAGUGCUCCACUCGUGAAGUGCUCCACUGCCUCCCUCAAUAAUACCUUCACUCAUCGUCAUUCCCUCACACGAACCUGAAACUCUCUCUCUCUAUCCCUCGACAGUCUCUCUCUCUCUCUCUAACUCUCCCUCUCGAACCGUAAGCAACACACACACAAAAACUCAAUCAAACUUGCACGAACGUUGGAUCUAAGACCACCAUCGUGAUCCUGAGAACUUCACGAACACGGGGAUACCAAAUUCAGGCUAAACAAAGAUCACAGUGAGUCUUAGAAGGUCCCAAGGAUGCUCGGAGUGUAACGUUGGGAAGUUUUUGACGUAAGAACACGGAGAUCGACAAGUUCAAAGUUUGACCGGAGCUUUCGAGGCUUUUUCCAGUGAAUACCCGGCGAGUUAAGGGUCGAGGUAGGUAUGAAUGUGUUCGUCUCGUCAAUAUCUUCAUUUUGAUAUAAAGUACGUUGAAAAUGGUGAAGAAAUGAAGAAGUUAUGACGUUUUGAAAAAUACCCAAUUUCCGGCGAACCAGUCCGACGAGACUAGGAAGAAGACGCGCGUGGGGGCGCGUAGGUCCGACCUUCCUCUGGCGCAUGGGGGCGCGUUCGUGGCCCAAAAAUUAUUCUAAAAAUUUCUACGUGUUCAUGACGUCGUGUAGAUCACCGUGGUGAAAAUUAUACGGACGAAGAACGUAACCAAAAUAGGCGAGGGGGUUACGAACCGGCUACUUAUCAGUGAGUGGGCAGUUAUUUUUCAGUAUAUAUAUAAGUAUACUUGACGUGUUUCCUAGAAAACGUAUUUUAAAUAUAAAUACGAA